UGAAUAUAAUUAGAACCGGUUAUUCAGCAAAUCAAAUUAUUCAGAUAUAUAUAAAAUGAAUCGACAUAUUUUAAUUGUGAGAAUAUUGUCAUGAAAAACACAAAUCAAACAAUCGAAUUAUUUCCAAAGCUGCGAUAAAA
This 140-nucleotide small nucleolar RNA is filed under the name Drosophila grimshawi. RNAcentral's name for it is "snoRNA:GH25812". The record is from RNAcentral. Lineage: Eukaryota; Metazoa; Arthropoda; Insecta; Diptera; Drosophilidae.